This 360-nucleotide ribosomal RNA is filed under the name uncultured Bdellovibrionales bacterium. RNAcentral's name for it is "bacterial SSU rRNA". It matches the Rfam family "Bacterial small subunit ribosomal RNA", at positions 1022 to 1382 of the family's 1533-position model. The record is from RNAcentral. Lineage: Bacteria; Pseudomonadati; Bdellovibrionota; Bdellovibrionia; Bdellovibrionales.
GGGAGCCGAGAGACAGGUGCUGCAUGGCUGUCGUCAGCUCGUGCCGUGAGGUGUUGGGUUAAGUCCCGUAACGAGCGCAACCCCUGCCUUUAGUUGCGACCGGUAACGCCGAGCACUCUAAAGGGACUGCCUGGGAUAACCAGGAGGAAGGCGGGGAUGACGUCAAGUCAGCAUGGCCCUUACGUCCAGGGCUACACACGUGCUACAAUGGCCGGUACAGAGGGAAGCAAUACCGCGAGGUGGAGCAAAUCCCAUAAAGCCGGCCUCAGUUCAGAUCGGAGGCUGCAACUCGCCUCCGUGAAGGCGGAAUCGCUAGUAAUCGCGGAUCAGCAGGCCGCGGUGAAUACGUUCCCGGGCCUU